RNAcentral lists this ribosomal RNA (534 nucleotides) under Triticum aestivum (bread wheat). RNAcentral describes it as "partial small subunit ribosomal RNA". Lineage: Eukaryota; Viridiplantae; Streptophyta; Magnoliopsida; Poales; Poaceae. The record is from RNAcentral.
AUGGCUAACAGCCUUUCGACUAAUCUCACUGGUUGUCACUUAUUCUUCCAGAUUUUUGUGCUUGACAACGUUGACCUUGGCAUUUUCAAUAAACCGCAUAAUGUGCUUCCAAGGAUCGCCGAUUUCGACCCUGAUUCACUCCGUAAAAUGCUCACCAUGGCUCUUGACCCCGUCAAGGGAGCUACGUCGUAUUCACAUGCCAAUCUAAGAGACGCGUCAACGGUGUGUUACAUGCGUUCUAAGGUACAAGUGAAUGCCCCGUCAUCAUCAACCAGCAAGAGGGUGCAUAGGUGUGCAAAGACACCGGUUGCAGUGUCCAUGGUUAACACCACAACUCCUGUUCAUGUCUAUACAAGUCAUGCAUGCAACGACAGCGCCGCACACUCCAACAAGGCUGCACCUGGGCCACUAGAAUUUGCACACUACUUACGGGAGAAGUACCCGCAUCUCGUAGCCGAUGAGUUAACGAUGAUGCUAAAACAUCAGAAUUCAAGGAUGAUAAUGCAGUUGACACAGGCUGGCAACUCCAUAUAG